GUAAUUCCUUUGGAGAAGGACUCACACAGGACACGUCAAAGAGAUGAAGAGGAGGCAUCUGAAAGCUCCAACGAUGCCGGUCAAGCUGAAGCCACAGAGCAAGAUGACCACGAAUAUUUCGGGAGGCAGAGAACAAUUCGUUCGAGAUUUCCAUCUUGCUGCUGUACUCUCGUUGACAAAUUAGUCAUCCCAGGCACUCCUACUAGCUUCUCUGUCUACAAUUUUUGUAGUCAUCCAUGUUCUGUUUCAUUACGCUGAUGUAUUCCUUUUUGUGCUUGCAGUCAAAUGGGUUCGUCUGUUUCUUUUCAUCAUUAUAAGGACUUUGUACCCUCGAACCCGACAUCUGGAGAAGAUUAAGAGAACCCAUAGAAAAGCCUUGGAACUCAUCGAAUUUUUAGCCCGCGACCCGAGAAACAUGGAGUUCUACGUGCUGGGAAGAAAACAAGGUGACGGCGGUGCUCCUGCGGCAGACCUUC
Non-coding RNA from Musa acuminata subsp. malaccensis (wild Malaysian banana), 476 nucleotides. NCBI's taxonomy places the organism in Eukaryota, Viridiplantae, Streptophyta, Magnoliopsida, Zingiberales, Musaceae. The record is from RefSeq and is a predicted model, not a curated record.